CAGGACGAACGCUGGCGGCGUGCCUAACACAUGCAAGUCGAACGGGGCUGAAGAUGGCACAGGCUCACCUGUGGAGUCAGGUGAGCGCGUGUCGUCUUCAGCUUAGUGGCGGACGGGUGAGUAACGCGUGAGCGACCUGACCCAUACAGGGGGACAACAGCUGGAAACGGCUGCUAAUACCGCAUAAGACCACGUACCUGAGGGUAUGGGGUAAAAGGAGGAAUCCGGUAAGGGAGGGGCUCGCGUCCCAUUAGGUAGUUGGUGAGGUAACGGCCCACCAAGCCGACGAUGGGUAGCCGGACUGAGAGGUUGAACGGCCACAUUGGAACUGAGAGACGGUCCAGACUCCUACGGGAGGCAGCAGUGGGGAAUAUUGGGCCAAUGGGGGGAACCCUGACCCAGCAACGCCGCGUGAGGGAAGAAGGUUUUCGGAUUGUAAACCUCUGUCCUUGGUGACGAAGGAAGUGACGGUAGCCAAGGAGGAAGCCCCGGCAAACUACGUGCCAGCCGCCGC
Molecule: ribosomal RNA, 514 nt
Filed under: uncultured bacterium
Lineage: Bacteria
Description: bacterial SSU rRNA
Rfam family: Bacterial small subunit ribosomal RNA
Source: RNAcentral